GGGGAAUAUUGGACAAUGGGGGCAACCCUGAUCCAGCCAUGCCGCGUGAGUGAAGAAGGCCUUCGGGUUGUAAAGCUCUUUUGGCGGGGACGAUGAUGACGGUACCCGCAGAAUAAGCCCCGGCUAACUUCGUGCCAGCAGCCGCGGUAAGACGAAGGGGGCUAGCGUUGUUCGGAAUUACUGGGCGUAAAGGGCGCGUAGGCGGUUUGUUAAGUCAGGCGUGAAAGCCCUGGGCUCAACCUGGGAGGUGCGCUUGAUACUGGCAAGCUUGAGUGCAGGAGAGGAUGGUGGAAUUCCCAGUGUAGAGGUGAAAUUCGUAGAUAUUGGGAAGAACACCGGUGGCGAAGGCGGCCAUCUGGACUGCAACUGACGCUGAGGCGCGAAAGCGUGGGGAGCAAAC
Molecule: ribosomal RNA, 400 nt
Filed under: uncultured bacterium
Lineage: Bacteria
Description: bacterial SSU rRNA
Rfam family: Bacterial small subunit ribosomal RNA
Source: RNAcentral